Triticum urartu is the source of this 2673-nucleotide non-coding RNA. Lineage: Eukaryota; Viridiplantae; Streptophyta; Magnoliopsida; Poales; Poaceae. The record is from RefSeq and is a predicted model, not a curated record.
CCAAACCAGUCCUCCGCCUCCUCUCCUGCUCCCGCCAUCGCCCGCAGAACCCCACCCAAACCCAUCGCUCGCUCGCCAAGAUCCAAGGCGGCCGCAGCGGCUGGGAGACUGGGAGGACGCGCGCGGGAGGAGAUCCAAGGCGGCCGACGAAGGCCCCGGCGGCGCCACCGGCCUAGAAGCCCGCGUCCGAUGGCGAUAGGAGCGAGGGCGUCGCCAGCUCGGACACCCCGCUCGCCUUCCCCGAGGGCGACGAGCACGACGAGGCGGCGGCGGCGGAGGACGAGGCCAAGGCCAGCACGCAGGACAAGUGGGCGCAGCAGCAGCAGGCCGGCCCGCCAUGGCAGUGGAGCGGGGGCGACGGCGGCUACUCCUUCAGUCGACUGCAUCUUUUUGUGGCGCUUGGGUACAUUCCGAAUCAACUACAAAUUCCUCUCACUACGCCCAUGCCCAGAGAUUAGCCAAUAUUUGGGAGAUGAGGUGGCUCAACUAAUUGGAGACAGAACAAGAUGAAGAAGGAAAGUACGGCCACACCAGGGCGACCUGGGAGCAAGAGAUGAUCACCAUCAUCUGGGUGCUAAAGGCCUAGGGAAUUAUAACAUGGUUUUUUUAUAGAAAGGAUGCUCAUGGCGUAGCUUACAGUACCAGGCAACAUCUUCUGUUGAUUACAGUGCCAAAAACUCCAGCAGGCCGCAGGACUCCUACGUCGCUGGCGCCUGUCACCGUCACUGACGACGCCCUGCGUCCAGCUGGCCGCCAAGGAAUCCGCCAACCCGUCCCAAUUUAGUGUCCCACGUCAUGAGCUCCUCGAAGGUGAGCAGCUGGCCCAGCCUCGCCAUGUAGCACACGGUCUUGGUAGUGGAGAUGUCGACAUUGUCACUGCGGUCGAAGGUGCGGACGGACUCGAGCAACUACGCCCGCUGGUUGAGGUGUGGAGCAUAGGGCGUGAGCACCGGCAUGAUGGUGUGCGCUAGCUCGUCAAACUCAGCGGCCCGCUGACAUCUGUGUUGAUGGCCAGCAGCAGAAGGACUCGUCGCCCGGCGGCCGCAAGCUUAGGGGGGUGGAGCAGGGCGUCGAGAUCGAGACCUGCUGGCGCCUGUCACGUCGUCACUGACUCAGACCACAAGAGUCCUGCUGUGUUCGGCGUCGCGCCCUCCACAUCCUGCAAUGGUGAUCACGAUGCCCCUGCAGAACAAGGUGCCGAUGCCUGUCACUGCCCUGCGUCCUGCUCCACGCUGUGCCCAGUGCUGCCACCCUGCUCUGUGUUGUGCCCUCGAUAGGCGCCAUCCUUGGACGCCAUCUCUUCCAACCUAUCUUCAAAAAAGAUUUGUACCCUUCCAAACUGAUAUCAAUUACAUACUCAAGGCAGUUCUAGAUGUCUGCAAGUUUGUGAUCUGCAAGUAUUAUAGUCAAAAGGAUUUCAAUUAUGAUAGGCCGUAGCUUCACUUUACAUCCUCAGGUCAGUUCUAGAUGUCUGCAAGUUUGUGAUUUGCAAGUAUUAUAUUAAAAAAGAUUUCAAUUAUGAUAGUCCGUAGCUUUACUAAUCCCACUGUUAUACUACUAUGUGUGUUCACUGAUGCAUGUGUCUUCAAAUUAUGAUAGGCUGUAGCUGGAUCAGAUGAAGCAGUUUUGCCGUGUGAAUAGCCGUAAAGCGAAACAGAAGCAGCUCACAUGCGCGUCUACUUGUUUUUUUUACUUGCCGUAGCUGGAUCAUUAGCUUGAACGCAAAGCCAUCUAGUCUAUUCUCUGCCCCCAUGAUAUCUUUUCUUAAUUUGGUAGAUUGGUAGAUCAAGUUUUUGCAAGAUGACAACACCACAUGUGUAGUUGCUGACUAUGUUUAUAUCGCAAAAAUAUUAUGGUUGCAAGCAUCUACCUGUCUUAUUCUCAAGGAAGGGCCCAGCCUAUCAUUUGAUUUUAAGUUGUCAGAUUCAUCAUAUAGUAUUUAAGAUUGGCAGAUUAAAUUUCCCCGGUGCUGCCACUGGGGCGUACUGCUGCUCGCCUCUCCGUCCGCCGGUGCCUCCCGCUCGGGCGGUGUCCCGGGCUGACGGCGUGCGUCCUGAGCUGCUGCUCGCGUCGCCUCGCGACCGCUGCUGGACCCGAGGGAGCCGCCGGCUGCGCACGUCCGGGGGAGCGCCCGAGCAGCUCGGGUUCGAGCUUACGGCUGCGUGCGCGCCCAAGGGAGCAGCUACCCAGUGCAGCGGCAUCAGCUAGCAACCUCUGAAUUCAGUAAUGCAGAAUUCUGGAGGCAAUUACAUGUAUAUACUGUGCAUGAAAGCUUUCAUUUGAAAGCUCAUAUGGUCAAUUUUGUUCCUUUUUCAUUUUUGUUCUUUCAUUUGAAGCGUCCAAUGUUGCCGCCGAGUUCGCCGGAGGAAGAAGCGUCGAGUUCGCCGGAGGAACAAAAACAUCGGUCGAGCCGUACAAUGGCGCCUGCAGCGGCUACACCAGAGAUAUUUAUCCCCUUGAUGAAACCUAACCACUCGAUGUAAUCUCCCCUGUUUUAGUUGUUGUUUCUGUCCUGGUUGUACAGGCAGUUUUCAACAGCAGCAGCUAGCAUGCUCAGUCUGAACUUUUAGAAUGUUUUCCCAGUUCAUGUUCAACGUUGAUCCUUUUUCCAGUUAAAGUUCCAAGCAACUUUCCUGUGUGAAUCUCACUGAAACUUCUGUUUCAUUGUGUAUA